CUGCAAGAUCAAGUGGAAACUGUAACAUACUCCACGUCCAUACAGCAAGAAUUGCAUUUAUGAGAGCAUAAUUCUUCCUAUGGGAGAGGAAAGAAGUGAUAACAGUGAACAUGAAGUUUUCUUAUGCGAUAACAAAAAUGUUUCCUGUAGUAUUUGGAAUAUCAUUCAAAAGGUAGUUGAGCAAAACAGCGAUUGAUUACUGUGUUCUUCACUGCAUGAGGAGACUGCUCAAAUAAACACAAGUCAUCUCUAAUUGCUCUUCUUAUUGUAAGAUCUUAACUAGGAAUAGGAAAAGGUGUCCCACCGUUUGAAUGAUGUGGUGAUCUGUUCCCUCACUUCCAUGACUGCUGUCUCUGGAUUGAUUGAAGUCUUGGUUGCUGAUAUUCACCUGAACUGCUCCAGGCUCAUUACCACAGUACUGUUGUGAAUAAAAACAUCACACAUGCAUAAACAUCCCAUACAGGGAGCAGAUGCACUCUGUGGCUGAGAGAAUCCUGUUUUGCUGAACUGUAGAAGGUUCAUUUGUGCAAUUCGGCCAGUGUUUGCAAAGGUAGAUGCUCACCCUGAAUAUAAUUACCCUCUUGUUCAGAAGGGAGGGAUUCCUCUCAUGAGGACAGGAGAGAUGUUUUGGUAAGUCCUUGAGAAAGUAUAGGAUUUUACUGCAGAAGAGGAUGUAAAUUCAAGGACUGAUGUAGCGGGUGACAUUCCUGUGCUGUUAAGAUGGCAUUCUUUGAAUGCGAUCUGCCUGCAGCUCUCCUGAUCAGGCUACUGAGUUUCCUACAUAGUCUCUGUCUAGAUAAAAAACUGAAAUAGGGUAAGAAUUGAUCAUGGUCAGUCUGCUGGUUUAUGGUCCUGGCCAGUCUCUAUAUUCAGGCUUAAAUCUAUCUAGUAUAUAACUAGUAUACAUCUUGAAUAUAUCUAAUAUAUAUCUAAGCUGCAAUGAAUAGAUAGAGUAGGGGUGGGAUAUUUGGAUUGUAUUCUCUGCCCUCCUACACACACCCACGCACCACCACUUCACCCCAAACCCACCUCCCCUCCUCCACACCCCCCUCCCCUCAAAAAAUAAGCUGUGCCUUAUGCUGCUAGGAGGUUCAUGAUGUGAGAGGUGAGAUACAGGAAUAAUUAAGAAAAAUAGAUCUGUGUUGUUGCCUACCCCUGUAGAGUAGAGAAAAAACAGGUAUUUUUGCUUUCUCCAAGUACCCAGUGCUCCGGGAAAUAGAAUGUUCACUAAAACAUACUGUUACAUCAACUGCAGUAAACCACUAGGUCUGUAGCACUGCACUGCCCUUCUUAGUUCACAUGAUAGGCUGGCCCUGGAGCAACUGGGGUAUGGUUCUAAAAUUCUAUCUUCAUAGCAAUCCCUUAACAUCUCUUCGCAUUGUAAUAAGGGAUAAUUAGAAAAUCAAACCAUGCUGUUAUUAAAGACUUUUAUCCUGUCCUAUUUGUGCCAGAGAACACAUGAUUUGCAUUUCUCCACUGGGCCCCCCACCAUUUUAUUGCAUGGAGAGUGAUUUUAUGCAACAAUCAGAAUGUGUUCUAGUGCAUACUGAGUAGCUCUGUUCAGCCUAAUGCCUGCCAAUAUAAAGGCAACAUUUUCCAGCAAAUGCCACAUUCUAGCAAAUUUCAGAUUCUACUUUGAUGCUUUAUUUGGUCCCUGAUAACGUUGCUCAGUAUCUGGGUAAAUGCUGCUUCUUGUCACAAAUAAGUGGAGCAAAUUCC
Molecule: long non-coding RNA, 1719 nt
Organism: Neopsephotus bourkii (Bourke's parrot)
Lineage: Eukaryota; Metazoa; Chordata; Aves; Psittaciformes; Psittacidae
Exons: 2
Source: RefSeq, a predicted model, not a curated record